Molecule: transfer RNA, 86 nt
Filed under: Laetiporus sulphureus
Lineage: Eukaryota; Fungi; Basidiomycota; Agaricomycetes; Polyporales; Laetiporaceae
Also listed under: 1 other name
Description: tRNA-Ser
Rfam family: tRNA
About the family: Transfer RNA (tRNA) molecules are approximately 80 nucleotides in length. Their secondary structure includes four short double-helical elements and three loops (D, anti-codon, and T loops).
Source: RNAcentral
GGGCAUUUGGCAGAGUCUGGUUUAUUGCGCUCGUCUUGAAAACGAGAACUUAACACAAGUCGUGAGUUCAAAUCUUACAGUGCCCG